This 63-nucleotide transfer RNA is filed under the name Laimosemion gransabanae. Its description in RNAcentral is "tRNA-Tyr". It matches the Rfam family "tRNA". Rfam says of the family: Transfer RNA (tRNA) molecules are approximately 80 nucleotides in length. Lineage: Eukaryota; Metazoa; Chordata; Actinopteri; Cyprinodontiformes; Rivulidae. The record is from RNAcentral.
UAAGAUGGCUGAAAUAGUGGUGGAUUGUAGCUCCAUGUAUAAAGGUUUAAAUCCUUUUCUUAC